RNAcentral lists this transfer RNA (76 nucleotides) under Neotamlana sedimentorum. RNAcentral describes it as "Tamlana sedimentorum tRNA-Cys". It matches the Rfam family "tRNA". Rfam says of the family: Transfer RNA (tRNA) molecules are approximately 80 nucleotides in length. The record is from RNAcentral. Lineage: Bacteria; Pseudomonadati; Bacteroidota; Flavobacteriia; Flavobacteriales; Flavobacteriaceae.
GACCCUGUGGCCAAGUGGUAAAGGCGUCCGCGUUGCAACCGGGAAGACGUCAGUUCGAAUCUGACCAGGGUCUCAA